This 1526-nucleotide ribosomal RNA is filed under the name metagenome. RNAcentral describes it as "bacterial SSU rRNA". It matches the Rfam family "Bacterial small subunit ribosomal RNA". The record is from RNAcentral.
AGAGUUUGGUUCUGGCUCAGAACGAACGCUGGCAGCGUGGAUUAGGCAUGCAAGUCGAACGAGAUUCCUUGUGAUAGCAAUAUUAUGAGGAUGACAGUGGCGAAAGGGCGAGUAAUGCGUGGGUAAUCUACCGUCAAGAUUGGGACAACCCGCCGAAAGGUGGGCUAAUACCGAGUGUGGUCCUCCGGCGCAUGCCGGGGUGAUUAAAGGUGGGGAUCGCAAGACCUGCCGCUUGAUGAGGAACCCGCGCCCCAUCAGCUAGUUGGUGAGGUAACGGCCCACCAAGGCUUACGGGUAGCUGGUCUGAGAGGAUGGUCAGCCGCACUGGGACUGAGACACUGCCCAGACUCCUACGGGAGGCUGCAGUCGAGGAUCUUUUGCAAUGGGCGAAAGCCUGACAAAGCGACGCUGCGUGGAGGAUGAAGGCCUUCGGGUUGUAAACUCCUGUCAUCCGGGAACAAUUGUCGGUUGGUUAAUACCCGGCCGGCUUGAUGGUACCGGAAGAGGAAGCCACGGCUAACUCUGUGCCAGCAGCCGCGGUAAUACAGAGGUGGCGAGCGUUGUUCGGAUUUACUGGGCGUAAAGGGUGCGUAGGUGGUUUCGUAUGUCGGAUGUGAAAGCCCGCCGCUCAACGGCGGAAAUGCAUUCGAAACUGCGGAACUGGAGUGCAGGAGGGGAGAGCGGAAUACUCGGUGUAGCGGUGAAAUGCGUUGAUAUCGAGUAGAACACCGGUGGCGUAGGCGGCUCUCUGGAAUGCAACUGACACUGAGGCACGAAAGUCAGGGGAGCAAACAGGAUUAGAUACCCUGGUAGUCCUGACUGUAAACGGUGUGCACUUGGUGUGGGGGGAAUUAACCCCCUCCGUGCCGGAGCUAACGCGUUAAGUGCACCGCCUGGGGAGUACGGUCGCAAGAUUAAAACUCAAAGAAAUUGACGGGGGCCCGCACAAGCGGAGGAGCAUGUGGCUCAAUUCGAUGCAACGCGAAGAACCUUACCAGGGCUUGACAUGCAGCUGCAAACCUGUCGAAAGACAGGCGCCUUCGAGGGUGCUGCACAGGUGCUGCAUGGCUGUCGUCAGUUCGUGCCGUGAGGUGUUAGGUUAAGUCCUGCAACGAACGCAACCCCUGUGUCUAGUUGCCACCGCGGUGAUGAAUCGCGAGCACUCUAGACAGACUGCCCGUUUUAAGUGGGAGGAAGGUGGGGAUGACGUCAAGUCAGUAUGGCCUUUAUGCCCUGGGCUGCACACGUGCUACAAUGGCCGGUACAAAGGGAAGCAAGACCGCGAGGUGGAGCAAAUCCCCGAAAACCGGCCCCAGUUCGGAUUGAAGGCUGAAACUCGCCUUCAUGAAGCCGGAUUCGCUAGUAAUGGCGCAUCAGCUACGGCGCCGUGAAUACGUUCCCGGGCCUUGUACACACCGCCCGUCACAUCAUGAAAACCGUCUGCACCAUACGUCGCUGAGCUAACCCGCAAGGGGAGCAGGUGCCUAAGGUGUGGGUGGCGAUUGGGAUGAAGUCGUAACAAGGUA